CAAGCCCUGGAAACGGGGUCUAAUACCGGAUAUGACAUCCUCCCGCAUGGGAAGGGUGUGGAAAGCUCCGGCGGUGCAGGAUGAGCCCGCGGCCUAUCAGCUUGUUGGUGGGGUGAUGGCCUACCAAGGCGACGACGGGUAGCCGGCCUGAGAGGGCGACCGGCCACACUGGGACUGAGACACGGCCCAGACUCCUACGGGAGGCAGCAGUGGGGAAUAUUGCACAAUGGGCGAAAGCCUGAUGCAGCGACGCCGCGUGAGGGAUGACGGCCUUCGGGUUGUAAACCUCUUUCAGCAGGGAAGAAGCGAAAGUGACGGUACCUGCAGAAGAAGCACCGGCUAACUACGUGCCAGCAGCCGCGGUAAUACGUAGGGUGCGAGCGUUGUCCGGAAUUAUUGGGCGUAAAGAGCUCGUAGGCGGCCUGUCACGUCGGAUGUGAAAGCCCGGGGCUUAACCCCGGGUCUGCAUUCGAUACGGGCAGGCUAGAGUUCGGUAGGGGAGAUCGGAAUUCCUGGU
RNAcentral lists this ribosomal RNA (517 nucleotides) under uncultured Streptomyces sp. RNAcentral's name for it is "bacterial SSU rRNA". It matches the Rfam family "Bacterial small subunit ribosomal RNA", at positions 144 to 674 of the family's 1533-position model. The record is from RNAcentral. Lineage: Bacteria; Bacillati; Actinomycetota; Actinomycetes; Kitasatosporales; Streptomycetaceae.